GGUUCCGUGGUGUAGUGGUUAUCACGUCUGCUUUACACGCAGAAGAUCGCCGGUUCGAUUCCGGUCGGAACCA
Molecule: transfer RNA, 73 nt
Organism: Melipona quadrifasciata
Lineage: Eukaryota; Metazoa; Arthropoda; Insecta; Hymenoptera; Apidae
Rfam family: tRNA
About the family: Transfer RNA (tRNA) molecules are approximately 80 nucleotides in length.
Source: Rfam